GAGGGUGAGGGUUAUCAGGAUUGAUGUCCAUAACUGCUCAUCGGCAGGGGUGACUUAAGGGCCUUGCCCAGCUGUGGGGGGCUAGAGGGGCUGCACCUUCCUCCCUCAUUGCUCCACCUUUGGUCUUCCUCACACUCCAUGUGCUUAGGCGAAGACAUUGACCUUUGGAGCUAUGCCUGGACUCUUCCUUGGUCAAGGGUAUCUGAACAGCUGAGUUAUUUUAGGAGAAACUCUAAAUAUGUUAUUGCAACUUGAAACAUCUCAAAUAUCUGUAUAGCUGGGAAGAGACUACAAUCCGAGCAUACUGCCAUGGAAAAGGCAGUGAUG
RNAcentral lists this small nuclear RNA (327 nucleotides) under Dasypus novemcinctus (nine-banded armadillo). RNAcentral describes it as "7SK RNA (ENSDNOG00000046624.1)". It matches the Rfam family "7SK RNA". From Rfam's summary of the family: 7SK was discovered as an abundant small nuclear RNA in the mid-70s but a possible function has only recently been suggested. Two independent studies have found that 7SK RNA binds the CDK9/cyclin T complex (known as elongation factor P-TEFb). The record is from RNAcentral. Lineage: Eukaryota; Metazoa; Chordata; Mammalia; Cingulata; Dasypodidae.